AGCAGCCGCGGUAAUUCCAGCUCCAAUAGCGUAUAUUAAAGCUGUUGCAGUUAAAAAGCUCGUAGUUGAAUUUCGGGAUCAAUGCGUCGGUCGUGCCUCGGUACGUACUAACGAUAUUGAUUUCUCCCUUCUGACGAACCGUGAUGUCAUUAAUUUGGUGUUACGGGGAGUUAGGACUGUUACUUUGAAAAAAUUAGAGUGUUUAAAGCAAGCAAUCGCUCGAAUACAUUAGCAUGGAAUAAUGAAAUAGGACGUUCGAACCUAUUUUGUUGGUUUCUAGGAUCGACGUAAUGAUUAAUAGGGAUAGUUGGGGGCAUUAGUAUUCAAUUGUCAGAGGUGAAAUUCUUGGAUUUAUUGAAGACUAACUACUGCGAAAGCAUUUGCCAAGGAUGUUUUCAUUAAUCAAGAACGAAAGUUAGGGGAUCGAAGACGAUCAGAUACCGUCGUAGUCUUAACCAUAAACUAUGCCGACUAGGGAUCGGAUGAUGUUAAUUUUUUAAUGACUCA
This 507-nucleotide ribosomal RNA is filed under the name uncultured fungus. Its description in RNAcentral is "SSU rRNA". It matches the Rfam family "Eukaryotic small subunit ribosomal RNA", at positions 569 to 1078 of the family's 1831-position model. The record is from RNAcentral. Lineage: Eukaryota; Fungi.